CUACGUGCCAGCAGCCGCGGUAAUACGGAAGGUCCAGGCGUUAUCCGGAUUUAUUGGGUUUAAAGGGAGCGUAGGCGGACGAUUAAGUCAGCCGUGAAAGUUUGCGGCUCAACCGUAAAAUUGCAGUUGAAACUGGUUGUCUUGAGUGCACGCAGGGACGUUGGAAUUCAUGGUGUAGCGGUGAAAUGCUUAGAUACCAUGAAGAACUCCGAUCGCGAAGGCAUAUGUCCGGAGUGCAACUGACGCUGAGGCUCGAAAGUGCGGGUAUCGAACAGGAUUAGAUACCCUGGUAGUCCGCACAGUAAACGAUGAAUACUCGCAGUAUGCGAUAUAAUGUAUGCUGCCAAGUGAAAACGUUAAGUAUUCCACCUGGGGAGUACGCCGGCAACGGUGAAACUCAAAGGAAUUGACGGGGGCCCGCACAAGCGGAGGAACAUGUGGUUUAAUUCGAUGAUACGCGAGGAACCUUACCCGGGCUUGAAUUGCAGAGGAAUUAUUUAGAGAUA
This 506-nucleotide ribosomal RNA is filed under the name uncultured bacterium. RNAcentral's name for it is "bacterial SSU rRNA". It matches the Rfam family "Bacterial small subunit ribosomal RNA", at positions 501 to 1008 of the family's 1533-position model. The record is from RNAcentral.